AAAGUUAAAUAUAGAGGAAGAAUUCAUUUGUGAAAUACCACCAAAGUAGUACUGGGUCUUUAUGGGUUAAUCGCAUAUUAUGGGAUGUACUUAACGCAUUCAGAACGCUUCAGCCUUUUCAACUAAAAAUUACAUGUCAAUGAAUGAAAUUAUUUUUAAAAAGUCAAGCGGUAACAAACAACUAUGAUAAUAAUCUAAUGUGAAAUGUUCAUUAGUUUUUAACUGGUGGUUUUAAUUUAUAAAUAUUUAUAAUGAAGUUAUUAAGUCUUUAAUUAACAUAAUAAUGUCAUCCCAGUGUUCAUGUAAUCAGGCUCAGCAGGUUGAUGCUGUUAAUGCAUAGCUUACUCCAUCAGUUAGCAUGCUAAUGCUUUAGUAACCAGCUACUAGUGUUUAUAAAAGACAAAAGGAGCCUUAUUCUCUAGACAAAAACCCAUGAUUUAUUACUGUGAUACUGUUUUCACAGACACUGCUGUUAUUUUUUUUACACACGAGUAGAAAUCUGUGUUUAGCUUCGAGCUAAUAGCACUGCUAGCUUUAGUUAGCAGCAUAUGACACUGUUAACAAAAUGCUUAUGUAACUUAAAAAUGAAAUACAGCGCAUAUGAUAUAAAACACUCUCUUAGCUCUAAAUAUAAGAUGAAUUUGUCAUCCCGUUACAACCUGUUAUGCUGUUUAGCAGCUACACAUGAAUAAAAAGCCAUCUUUUUAGCUAGUGCGCUAACUGCCAGCAUGCUAAUAGCUAAUAUUUUUGUCAUACUUUACUGUUUUGAUGUCACAUUUAGCUCUAAUGAAACUGUCAUGUAUAAAUGUAAUUUUGUAAAUAUAUGAGAUAUAAUAAUGAUGUUUAAAUAUUAGUAAUUUAUUAGUAAAUAUCAGCUGACACAUAUAAAUGCUACAGCAGCAUCAUCAAACUGCUCAUUAACUUAAAUUGCAUCAUAUAUUAGAGAUUUUCUCAUCUUUAACUACAAGGUGUGUUAUUAUAUUAUUAUUAUUUCACGUUAGGAUGUGGAAAACAUGAACAGAACAUUUAUUUUUAGAAUUAUAGUGUGCUAAUUGCUAAUAUUUUUCUCCUAUUACAAGUUUAUGCUAAGAGGUCGUGUAUUGUAGUUGUGUUAGGGUAAAUUUAAUGGGAACAAUAGUUAUUUUAGCCAAGUAAGUUAAAGUGUUUACAGCCUAAUUAACAAUAGCAUAAAAGAGCAGAUGAAUGU
Molecule: long non-coding RNA, 1207 nt
Organism: Sphaeramia orbicularis (orbiculate cardinalfish)
Lineage: Eukaryota; Metazoa; Chordata; Actinopteri; Kurtiformes; Apogonidae
Exons: 2
Source: RefSeq, a predicted model, not a curated record